RNAcentral lists this ribosomal RNA (463 nucleotides) under uncultured bacterium. RNAcentral describes it as "partial 16S ribosomal RNA". It matches the Rfam family "Bacterial small subunit ribosomal RNA", at positions 339 to 795 of the family's 1533-position model. The record is from RNAcentral.
CUACGGGUUGCUGCAGUGGGGAAUAUUGGACAAUGGGGGAAACCCUGAUCCAGCAAUGCCGCGUGUGAAGAAGGCCUGCGGGUUGUAAAGCACUUUCGGUUGGGAGGACUGCUUCUAGCACUAAUAUUGUUGGAAGUUGACGUUACCUUCAGAAGAAGCACCGGCUAACGCCGUGCCAGCAGCCGCGGUAAUACGGAGGGGUGAAGCGUUAAUCGGAAUUACUGGGCGUAAAGCGCGCGUAGGCGGCUAGAUCAGUCGGGUGUGAAAGCCCCGGGCUUAACCUGGGAACUGCAUCCGAUACUGUCUAGCUUGAGUACAGGAGAGGAGAGUGGAAUUCCACAUGUAGCGGUGAAAUGCGUAGAUAUGUGGAGGAACACCAAUGGCGAAGGCAGCUCUCUGGCCUGAUACUGACGCUGAGGUGCGAAAGCGUGGGGAGCAAACAGGAUUAGAUACCCCCGUAGUC